Molecule: ribosomal RNA, 502 nt
Filed under: uncultured bacterium
Lineage: Bacteria
Description: bacterial SSU rRNA
Rfam family: Bacterial small subunit ribosomal RNA
Source: RNAcentral
UAGCCCAUGCUGUAAACGAUGAAUACUCGAUGUUGGCGAUAUACUGUCAGCGUUCAAGCGAAAGCAUUAAGUAUUCCACCUGGGGAGUACGAUCGCAAGGUUGAAACUCAAAGGAAUUGACGGGGGCCCGCACAAGCGGUGGAGCAUGUGGUUUAAUUCGAUGGUACGCGAGGAACCUUACCUGGGCUUAAAUGGUAUUGGACCGUUGCCGAAAGGUGACUUUCUUUAUGACUGAUAUCAAGGUGCUGCAUGGCUGUCGUCAGCUCGUGCCGUGAGGUGUUGGGUUAAGUCCCGCAACGAGCGCGACCCCUAUCUUUAGUUGCCAUCAGGUUAUGCUGGGGACUCUAAAGAGACUGCCUACGUAAGUAGUGAGGAAGGUGGGGACGACGUCAAGUCAUCAUGGCCCUUACGUCCAGGGCUACACACGUGCUACAAUGGCAGGGACAAUGAGCAGCCACUUGGCAACAAGGAGCAAAUCUCAAAAACCCUGUACUCAGUUCGG